RNAcentral lists this signal recognition particle RNA (97 nucleotides) under Lysobacterales bacterium. Its description in RNAcentral is "signal recognition particle sRNA small type". It matches the Rfam family "Bacterial small signal recognition particle RNA". Rfam says of the family: The signal recognition particle (SRP) is a universally conserved ribonucleoprotein involved in the co-translational targeting of proteins to membranes. Archaeal SRP consists of a 7S RNA and homologues of the eukaryotic SRP19 and SRP54 proteins. In most bacteria, the SRP consists of a 4.5S RNA and the Ffh protein (a homologue of the eukaryotic SRP54 protein). Lineage: Bacteria; Pseudomonadati; Pseudomonadota; Gammaproteobacteria; Lysobacterales. The record is from RNAcentral. RNAcentral also lists the same sequence under 1 other name.
CCGUCGGUUCUCCGCGACGAUAAGCCGAAAACUCCGCCAGGUCCGGAAGGAAGCAACGGUAUUGGCCGAUUCGGGCGCCGGAGGUCGCCGGCGGGGG